This 234-nucleotide ribosomal RNA is filed under the name uncultured bacterium. RNAcentral's name for it is "partial 16S ribosomal RNA". It matches the Rfam family "Bacterial small subunit ribosomal RNA", at positions 96 to 334 of the family's 1533-position model. The record is from RNAcentral.
UGGCGGACGGGUGAGUAAUGUCUGGGAAACUGCCUGAUGGAGGGGGAUAACUACUGGAAACGGUAGCUAAUACCGCAUAACGUCGCAAGACCAAAGGGGGGACCUUCGGGCCUCUUGCCAUCGGAUGUGCCCAGAUGGGAUUAGCUAGUAGGUGGGGUAACGGCUCACCUAGGCGACGAUCCCUAGCUGGUCUGAGAGGAUGACCAGCCACACUGGAACUGAGACACGGUCCAG